Molecule: ribosomal RNA, 495 nt
Filed under: uncultured bacterium
Lineage: Bacteria
Description: partial 16S ribosomal RNA
Rfam family: Bacterial small subunit ribosomal RNA
Source: RNAcentral
GAUGAACGCUGGCGGCGUGCCUAAUACAUGCAAGUCGAGCGAACGGACGAGAAGCUUGCUUCUCUGAUGUUAGCGGCGGACGGGUGAGUAACACGUGGAUAACCUACCUAUAAGACUGGGAUAACUUCGGGAAACCGGAGCUAAUACCGGAUAAUAUUUUGAACCGCAUGGUUCAAAAGUGAAAGACGGUCUUGCUGUCACUUAUAGAUGGAUCCGCGCUGCAUUAGCUAGUUGGUAAGGUAACGGCUUACCAAGGCAACGAUGCAUAGCCGACCUGAGAGGGUGAUCGGCCACACUGGAACUGAGACACGGUCCAGACUCCUACGGGAGGCAGCAGUAGGGAAUCUUCCGCAAUGGGCGAAAGCCUGACGGAGCAACGCCGCGUGAGUGAUGAAGGUCUUCGGAUCGUAAAACUCUGUUACUAGGGAAGAACAUAUGUGUAAGUAACUGUGCACAUCUUGACGGUACCUAAUCAGAAAGCCACGGCUAACUACG